UAGGGAAUCUUCCACAAUGGACGCAAGUCUGAUGGAGCAACGCCGCGUGAGUGAAGAAGGUUUUCGGAUCGUAAAGCUCUGUUGUUGGUGAAGAAGGAUAGAGGCAGUAACUGGUCUUUAUUUGACGGUAAUCAACCAGAAAGUCACGGCUAACUACGUGCCAGCAGCCGCGGUAAUACGUAGGUGGCAAGCGUUGUCCGGUUUUAUUGGGCGUAAAGCGAGCGCAGGCGGAAUGAUAAGUCUGAUGUGAAAGCCAACGGCUCAACCGUGGAACUGCAUCGGAAACUGACAGUCUUGAGUGCAGAAGAGGAGAGUGGAAUUACAUGUGUAGGGGUGGAAUGCGUAGAUAUAUGGAAGAAGACAAGUGGCGAAGGCGGCUCUCUGGUCUGCAACUGACGCUGAGGCUCGAAAGAAUGGGUAGCGAACAGG
Molecule: ribosomal RNA, 429 nt
Filed under: bacterium
Lineage: Bacteria
Description: partial 16S ribosomal RNA
Rfam family: Bacterial small subunit ribosomal RNA
Source: RNAcentral